Cephalotus follicularis is the source of this 107-nucleotide small nucleolar RNA. It matches the Rfam family "Plant small nucleolar RNA R71". From Rfam's summary of the family: R71 is a member of the C/D box family of snoRNAs containing the C (UGAUGA) and D (CUGA) box motifs. NCBI's taxonomy places the organism in Eukaryota, Viridiplantae, Streptophyta, Magnoliopsida, Oxalidales, Cephalotaceae. The record is from Rfam.
AAACCAUGAUGAGGACACUCUAAGAGGAGGUCUUUGAAUCGUUCCAUACAUCGAGAGAAUGGUUCAUUGGGUUUCUGAUGAAACUGGAGAAUAUCGUUCCUGAGCUU